AGCUUGCUUUCUCGAGCGAGUGGCGAACGGGUGAGUAACGCGUGAGGAACCUGCCUCAAAGAGGGGGACAACAGUUGGAAACGACUGCUAAUACCGCAUAAGCCCACGGUGCCGCAUGGCACAGAGGGAAAAGGAGCAAUCCGCUUUGAGAUGGCCUCGCGUCCGAUUAGCUAGUUGGUGAGGUAACGGCCCACCAAGGCGACGAUCGGUAGCCGGACUGAGAGGUUGAACGGCCACAUUGGGACUGAGACACGGCCCAGACUCCUACGGGAGGCAGCAGUGGGGAAUAUUGCACAAUGGGGGAAACCCUGAUGCAGCGACGCCGCGUGGAGGAAGAAGGUCUUCGGAUUGUAAACUCCUGUUGUUGGGGAAGAUAAUGACGGUACCCAACAAGGAAGUGACGGCUAACUACGUGCCAGCAGCCGCGGUAAAACGUAGGUCACAAGCGUUGUCCGGAAUUACUGGGUGUAAAGGGAGCGCAGGCGGGAAGACAAGUUGGAAGUGAAAUCUAUGGGCUCAACCCAUAAACUGCUUUCAAAACUGUUUUUCUUGAGUAGUGCAGAGGUAGGCGGAAUUCCCGGUGUAGCGGUGGAAUGCGUAGAUAUC
Molecule: ribosomal RNA, 606 nt
Filed under: uncultured Lachnospiraceae bacterium
Lineage: Bacteria; Bacillati; Bacillota; Clostridia; Lachnospirales; Lachnospiraceae
Description: bacterial SSU rRNA
Rfam family: Bacterial small subunit ribosomal RNA
Source: RNAcentral